AUUGAACGCUGGCGGCAGGCUUAACACAUGCAAGUCGAGCGGGGUGAUGGUGCUUGCACUAUCACUUAGCGGCGGACGGGUGAGUAAUGCUUAGGAAUCUGCCUAUUAGUGGGGGACAACAUCUCGAAAGGGAUGCUAAUACCGCAUACGUCCUACGGGAGAAAGCAGGGGAUCACUUGUGACCUUGCGCUAAUAGAUGAGCCUAAGUCGGAUUAGCUAGUUGGUGGGGUAAAGGCCUACCAAGGCGACGAUCUGUAGCGGGUCUGAGAGGAUGAUCCGCCACACUGGGACUGAGACACGGCCCAGACGCCGACGGGAGGCAGCAGUGGGGAAUAUUGGACAAUGGGGGGAACCCUGAUCCAGCCAUGCCGCGUGUGUGAAGAAGGCCUUAUGGUUGUAAGGCACUUUAAGCGAGGAGGAGGCUCUUUUGGUCAAUACCCAAGAUGAGUGGACGUUACUCGCAGAAUAAGCACCGGCUAACUCUGUGCCAGCAGCCGCAGUAA
Molecule: ribosomal RNA, 503 nt
Filed under: uncultured bacterium
Lineage: Bacteria
Description: partial 16S ribosomal RNA
Rfam family: Bacterial small subunit ribosomal RNA
Source: RNAcentral